This 496-nucleotide ribosomal RNA is filed under the name uncultured bacterium. RNAcentral's name for it is "bacterial SSU rRNA". It matches the Rfam family "Bacterial small subunit ribosomal RNA", at positions 28 to 513 of the family's 1533-position model. The record is from RNAcentral.
GACGAACGCUGGCGGCGUGCCUAACACAUGCAAGUCGAACGAGAAUCGAUGGAUUGCGGCUUCGGCCAAAUGAAGUUGAGGAAAGUGGCGAACGGGUGAGUAACGCGUGAGAAACCUGCCUUUCAGUGGGGGACAACAGUUGGAAACGACUGCUAAUACCGCAUAAUGUAUCGAGAGGGCAUCCUUUUGAUACCAAAGCUUUAUGUGCUGAAAGAUGGUCUCGCGUCUGAUUAGCUUGUUGGCGGGGUAACGGCCCACCAAGGCGACGAUCAGUAGCCGGCCUGAGAGGGUGAACGGCCACAUUGGGACUGAGACACGGCCCAAACUCCUACGGGAGGCAGCAGUGGGGAAUAUUGCACAAUGGGGGAAACCCUGAUGCAGCGACGCCGCGUGAGUGAAGAAGUAUUUCGGUAUGUAAAGCUCUAUCAGCAGGGAAGAAAAAUAACCAAAUUAGACAGUACCUGACUAAGAAGCCCCGGCUAACUACGUGCCAGCA